Molecule: non-coding RNA, 17167 nt
Organism: Coturnix japonica (Japanese quail)
Lineage: Eukaryota; Metazoa; Chordata; Aves; Galliformes; Phasianidae
Source: RefSeq, a predicted model, not a curated record
UGUGCCCGAGCGAGCUCCCUAGCGGAGCCGCUCAACCCGGGCUGUGGGCUUUUUAAAGAUAAAAAUCGCUCGCGUGGCCUUUGGGAUUAACGAGCUCGGUAACUCCUUCGGUGCCUGGGCGCUGGCAGCUGGCAAUGGCUUCGCUGCUCCGCCGUUCCUGUAUCCCUGCCGGAGCAUCCCUCGGCCGUGCCCUGGAUACAGCUGAGUGUUGGUGCUCCCAGGGUCAAGCCUCCAAAGGCUGUUCCUGUUCCUGCUGCUCUUUCCUUUCCUCUGCACCCUACUGGAUGAAAUCCCUCUGCAGCCAUGCAUGCUGGAGAGGGGCUGCUGGGGCCUCACUGACUGGAAAAGCAGGAAUAACCACCAAAAUGCAACCGGCGGGGAGGGCUUGGUGCUGGCGGCUGAGCCGGUUGGUGCUGGGUGAUGCUGUGGGGCAGACGGUCCGGGCCUGCCCGUGUUGCCCGUGGCUGCGUGCUGCAGUUCACCCGUGAGCCUGAAGGCAAGCAGAAGCUUUGGGUGGCAGUGCUGAGCCUGAUGCUGUUACCCCCGCCUUGCUCCCCUGGGUGCUGGUUGGCUGUUCACCCACCGAGGGGCUGAAUUAGGUCCUUUUCCCCCUUUUCUGCCUGCAGGUGUUGGAGGCAACAUAGGGCACAUCCAAUCCAAUCUGGGACCAGGCUUCAGCUUGCAGGGGGUUCAGGCUCAUAUCAGGGCUGCAUGAAGCUGUGUGUGCUGUGUGGCACAGCUCAGCCCGUGCUGCAUCACCUCGGUCCCAUCACUCGCUGCCCGUGCUCUCCUUGGUACUGUGAUGUGCUGAUGCUUGCUGUCUUGAAUAGGGCUCCUGCAUGUGUGUGCUGAGCCUGGUGGGAACCUGCCUGUAAAGCUCUGAGCCCCAACACUGCAUUUAGGGGGAAGGUGGGCUGCCCAGGGACCUGGUGGUGGUGAUAUCUGGUGGGGAGGGAUGAAGAAAGCUCCCCUGCAGGCACAUAUCUAGCACUGUUGCCAGUUCCUUUUUGCUUUCCAACCCUUGCCUGCUGUUUGGGUGCCUUGUACCAGCUGCCUAAUUUGUAAUGAUGGUUGCAUUGCAGCAGAUGCCUUGAAGGAGCCCUGUGCUGAGGUGUGCACCCCACUGCAUUCCCUGGGCCGAUUGCUUCUGACAGCACUGCUCCCCACCAGAGCCUGCAUCCUUCCUGCUCUGAUGCUGGAGCAGAAGUUCAAUGGGUGCAAUGCAGCAGUGGUAGGUGUGGGGUCCUGGAGAUGGAGCUGUGUGCAAUCAGCUCCCAGUGUGGUGCUGCUUUGGGAAUGUCCCACUCACACGGGCAUUCCCAUGGCUGGAAGGAACUUGUCUUGCUCUGCCAAAGGCAGAAAUGCAGUAUGGAUAACAUCACCAGGCCAGCAUUGCUAGAGGAGCUAAGAGCCAAGCAACCGCAUCCAUAGGAACCUCGAAUCUUCUCUUAUCUCCCUCAGCACAGAAGUUAAUUGCAUUUCCAUCAAGCUGUCCUGCCUCAGCUGUAUGCUGCAGAGCCAGCACAUGGUGGCUGCUUCUGGACACAGCCUCACCUCUGGUGUCCCACUCUCAUAUGGAGACAUCAUCUUUUCCAGGGCAGUUUGUGCUACAGUCAGGUCUGAGGAGCCCAGGGCUUGAGCUGAGCUGGUUGCCAGGUCCUUAUGGGUGUAUCUCGAAGGUGAGACUUGUCAGGAUGAAGCAAUGGAUGGAGUUUUUUAAUGGGUGUUCAGCAGCCACCGUGGAGAUGCUUAAGGGCAUAAAUUUUUGAAGAGCAUAAUGGAUGUUAAGCUCUCAAAAAGAAAUCCUAAGUCUCUUUAGCUUGGGUUUCCCGAGGUAUUGGUGGCUAGCUUGAAAUGAGAGAGCAAGCAAAAUGAAAUGAAAGGCUUUUAGUUGGUGUGGAGCUCCUGCUCGCUUUGUGUGUCUGAGCAGCAGCGCAGCCCUUUGGGAUGCUGAGCUCAGGACAGCAGGGCCUCAGCUCUGGGUGGGUGCAUUGAGGGGCUCACAUUGCAGAAUAGAGUUGAGGUUUUGUUCCUAGUGCUGAUUGAUUGUGCAGGGAAAAGCAAAUUGGUUGUGCACUAAUUUGGAGGGGAUGGAGGGCUGCAUCCAAAGCCAGCUCCUCUGCAGCUCUGCUCUGAGCACAGAUUGUGCCUGCUGAGGUCUCAGCACCGUUUUAUAGAGCUUUUCCAUAAGGUGUGCACUGUGAGUGCCCUCCCUUGGCUGCAGCAGUGGUAUUUGGGGAUGAGCAAUGCUGGUGCUUUUGGUGUGCUGGUGGAGCUGGGAUUCUGAGUGCCUGGCUUACAGGACAGGUGACCUGCUCUGAGAGGAUGAGUCCUGAUACACAGGGUGUUGCUGGUGUCUUGCUGGCAAGAAGAGGCAGAAAAAGUGGAAAACUUGGGAAAGGUCAGGAGAAAAUGCUGCCUGAAGUGUGGGUUGAUGCAGGAUGCUUCUGUAGUUGAGCCUAACUCUACACCCUUAUUAGUGAGCAACAUGUGACCAUGGGGGCUGAUGUAAACUUGCUUGGGUACUUCUCUUAGGGAAAGCAUCUUUGAGUGGCAGAGCACCAGGAUGUACUGGAGAAGGGACUGUGCCUCUCUAGUGUGGACAGUGAAGGUUUUUGGUGGCUGAAUGUCCUUUGUUAGUGGGUUUGCGUGCGAGAUGUGGUGACUUUCUGCCUGCCCAAAGGGUUGCUGUCUGUGGGACUCAUGCCUGAGGCAGCUCUGGAUGCUGUGCCCCCAUCUCUCACAUUCCCUGGGUGGGAACCCAAAGGAUAAGAAGCUGUAUUCUAAGAGCAUGAGGAUCAAGGCAUUUCGUGGUAAUUGCUGCUCCUGUGUGGUUCUGUGGGCUCCCGGCUGCUGCCUCUUGGGGGAGGAGAGGAGAGCAGGGAUGGAGCAGUGGUCUCUGCUGUUUGGCACAGCUGUACCGGGGUGUCUGCAGCUCUGAGGCAUGGCAGCUCUUCCCCAGAUGGAGAACAGGGCCCUGGGGGUAUCAGCCGUCUGCUGCUUUGCUGCCCAUAAAACCCUGCAGGCUGUUCCGCACAGUUCUUGGUGUGACUCAAUGGAGAAGAGCAGAUUCUCUGUUGAACUGCACCAAGAACUGUGCUCCCCCCGUUAUCCCUGAAGAUGGGUGCAGAUGACUCUCCUCCUGACGUGUGUGAUCUGUGUGCAUUUGGCUCUCCUUCCUUCCUGGGCAGCUGGCAGGUUAUUUUUGGUUCUGGAACAGCUCAGAUCUAGUUUCUACCAGGGCAAGUCUCUGCCCGGUGCAGUGCUCACAUCCCUGUUGCCAGCAGAGGUGGACCAUGCAUUGACCAGAGCACAUGGGGCUGCUCCAGCACCCACCUGGCCAGCAUCACUGUGAAGUGGCUGCAGAGAAAGGGCUGCUGGCCAGGUCUGUGGGAUUCACCUGGCUGUGGCCACCUCAGCCACCCCAUCUGUGGGCCUCUCUGGGGAGAGGGACGGGCAGGAGCAGCUGGUGCCGUGGCAGGGCUUGGAAAUCCAAGCCAGCACCGAGUCACGUGCAUCCCCUUGGCUCACAGGCUGGGAGAAUGGCAGCCCCUUUUUCCUCUGGCCUCCUGCCCUCAUCCUGCAGUGGAAAACCCUGCAGAAAGGUGAUGGGGCUGAAUGGUUUGCUGGGGGCCUCCUGCCCUGCCCCUCCUCUGCAAAGGUUCACAGGGGAAAGUGAAGAGUGGAUACUGCCAUUCUGCCACUUGGGUGCAAGGACAGUGCUUCUCUAGAGCUCCCCAUGCAGCUCCCAGUGUGUUGGUCCUGCUCCUUGUGAUUCAGAUUUGUCCCUCCUUAUUCCAUUGCAAGCAGAUGUUGCUCAGAGCAUCCUUUUCACAUCAGUACACUGGGAUGCCAUGGGGCCUCUGCCUACCUGGAGGGAGAGCAGAGGGAAAAUGCAAUCAAAUAGGUCUUGUCUCCAAGUUAAACUGCUUGGGUGUCUGCUGUAGCCCGGCUGCUAUUGUUGGGAAAGUGUGGCUCCUUGUUUCUCUGUGCCCUGCUGGCUCUGAGGGCUGCUGGGGAGGAACCUCAAGAGCAUCUACACUGGACAUGUCCUCCAAACUGCUGUAUUUGGAGCCACUAUUUGAAGCUUGUAGCAGUCUGGUGCCUGCUGUGUCCCAGUAUCUUGUCCUAUGCUACAUAUGAAUGCUUGAGGGUCUGCAUGAACUCCUAAACAGGUGGGGAAGGAGCCCUUCCCCAGGCAGUGCCAGGUGUCCAGCAGGGAGAGCAGGACUGCAACCCAGCAGGACCAUGGUGUGUGUGUGUGUGUGUAAGUCAUCUGUGCCCUGUCUUCUGGGUAGGGAGCUUCAGCUCAGCCUUCCACACUCAGCCCCCAUCAGCAAAAUACUGCCUGCUUAUCCUUGAUGUUUCCCUCUGCUCCUGGCAGGGAGUGAAUCUGUUUCCCAUCUCUAAAUGUGGGCUCCUGGGGUGAGCUCGUGAGUGUGGGCUCUCCUGUUCCGAGCCUCUGUGCUCCUCACCAUGUGGGGUUUCUGGGCUCCCUGUGACUGUCCUUGCUCUUCAUUCUGCUCAUCUCCCUGUGAAGCACGAGGGUCUCAAAUGGCACCGAAAACAGAACCAAAUCAGCUGUGAAUAGGCUUGAACUUACUAUUCAGGAAUACAAUAGAAAAUCAAAUAGGUACUACAUCUCCUUUGGCUGCCUGUGAGCCUGGUUUUCUUUGUUGCAGGUGGCUGACAGAAAGAAAACAGGUUUGUUAUGAAAGCACCAGGUCCAGCCUGCCCUGCUCUGUUACCUGGGAAGCUGUGAAGGAGGUGGCUGUGGUUCAUGGGGAGGCUGCUGCUGGAGGCGUUGGCUCAGAGAUGUGCAGGGAGCUCUGGGGUUCUGCAUGGCACAGCAGGUUUGGUGCGGCGUUGGUCCAGGUGUUCCUCCUCACCAAAGGCCUUGAAGAGGAUGAGCUGCCUCCAUGUGUUGCAGCCCAGCCUGGGUUUUGGUUGUGCAAUGAAGAGAACAUCUUGUGCCCCUGUGCUGAUCUGCGUCCUGCUUCUUGGUGCCUGGAACAAGAGUGAAAUUCAAAUGCACAAAGCAGAAUCCAUAUGAGGCAUCCUAUGGGCAUGCAUUGCCCUUGAGAUGUCUCACAGGGGGCAGGUUGCAGGGCUGCUUUGUGCCCCAGUGCUGCUACCAGGCACAUUGCUGUGCCCUUGGUGAGUACCUGGCACAGGGUGCUGCACCUCGGGCACAAAUGCAAUGGGAAGAUGACUUGCUUCCCUUCUGAAGCCUGACUUCCCCCACCCAUUAGAACUGAAGGCAAAAAAAAAAAGAGCAGGAACUGAUGGUGAGGGCAUUUCAAGGAGGCAGAAGUUGGAAAGGGAGUGCUCAGUGCGUGUCUCCAGCCGGCUCUGACUCACCAACACGUGCAGGUACAGCCCUACUGCUGGCUGCAACCAGCUUUUUGGUCAAGCCUUGCUCACCAGUGAAGCUGAGAGGGUUUGCAGAGACAAAAGGGAAGCACAGGAAAGGGAGCAACUAUUGCAGCUUGCUCCUGUUUCCUUUGCACGGCCCCUGAUUGUGUCCCUUUCUCUUGCCCUUUGCAAGCUGCAGCCCCCAGGAAAGGGCCUAACUUGGGUGAAUUGAGAGCCAGGAUCUGCCACUGAUGGCAGGGUUCAGAAUUAAAGCUGCCUCCAAAGCCUUGUUCUGCCUGCCAGACGGCACCCCAGGGGCAGGCGUGGAGCUGGGGCUCUGCUGCAGAGGUAGGAUGGGAACAUAUUCUGGUCCUGCCUGUCUGGUUUUGUGCUCCUGGCUGAGGCUCGGGCGAUUCGGGAUGGAGUUUGGUCUGAGAUGCAGGGCUGUGACUUAUUGUUAUUUAAAACUUCUAAAGCUGCAGAGCUGUAACUUGGGCCCAGAUUCACCUGACAGACCCAAUGUGCCGUGGCUGGAGCAGUGGGCAUGAGGUUGGAUGUGAUGCUGUAGGUUUGAAGUCAAAGAGAUGGACAGGUGAAGCUGCUUGCCUCAGUCACCCCCAAAUCAUGAUUCUGUUCCUGUUUUCAAGUAAGGCAUAUCCUCACCUCUGGAGAGCAAUGGGCUUUUUGUGUGACUGAACACAGCCCAGACGAGUCCUCCCAGCAGUGGGGAAUCUGCUUGGUCUGUUUGUUCUUUGCUGCUGCAACAAGGUGCUCAAAGCAAAAUCCCAACCCCUGGUGCCUUCCUUUAUCCCAUCCCAUUGGAGCAGGCAGCCCUGCAUUGCUGCCCUCACCAUGAGUGACCCCACCAGGAGAAGGGUCCUUGUCCUCAGGAGCACAAGUUGUUGGGCCACCACCCACUGCAGCGGUGCCAGAUGUGGUUUGUCCUCACCUCGCCUUCUUUCUGGCCAUGUGUAGCCACCAUGAGUCCAUGCCGUUUUGUUGCAGGCAAAGGGAGGGUUGGCCUCGUGUUUUUGCCCCUCUAAAUGUCACAAUUCACUUCUCUUUGGGGAAUAAUGUGCAUCCUUUUGCAGAGCAGAUCUACAGCCCGGCGCUGCCCUUGGUACUGCAGCGGUGCCAGAUGCUGAGGGUUGGAGAGCUCCGAGCUGCCAUCCUCCAUGAGCAAUGCCACCUUCCAGGCACCGGUUUGAAUGAGAACAUCAGCAUUGCCUUUGGAGCAGGGACACACUGCACACAGGCACCGCCACGUGCAAGGCCUGCAAGAGCUUAACUGCUGCAGCAGAUGGGACUUGGAAGCCAUGUCGGAGCAAAUAUUUAAAGAUCCGGUUUUAUAAAGACACUUUUUGGCCUAUAAACCACCCGCCCUGUGGCUCCUGGUGCUGUUGCUGCAGAGUCCUCUGUUUGCUGUUCCUGCUGCUGCUCCACACUACCGUCCGCAGAUUGGAAUGGGAAGCGACUUCUAUUGACCCUAUGGGGUUCCUGGGAUCAAGCAGACCCCAAAGCUGGAGAUGAGCCCAUCCUGGUGGAUGUCUUCCUGCUGCCUCUCACACAUCUCUAUGAGGACUGUGAGUUUGGGAUCCCACGUCCCCUUUCUCUCCAUGAUACAUCAGGCUCCCAGCAAUGAUCCUGAGCUAUAUGCAUGGCACAGAGCAAUCUCUGGUUCAUGCUUUCCUUCCUGCACAGCCUUUCAGCCUUUGGUCCCACAGAGCCAAGCACUGAUGUGUCUGCUAACACAGGUGGCUCUGCUCCUGAACAAGCAAAAGAAAAGUAAAUAGUCCCUCAGAUUGCAGCCUGGAUGCAGCAGGUUGGAUUCCUGCUCUCCUCCUCAAGGUAGUUCUUGUUUGCAUCCUCUAUGAGAGCAUGAUGAUGACUGGAUGCUGUAACUUUCUGGGAUAGACCCAAAGUAUUCUCCCUAUACUUUCACUUUGUAGGAAGCCCCACUCCACCUCUCCAGGGAGACCUGCAGUGCAGUGCAUUGCUGUCUCUGUAGCACUUUGAGAUCUGCAUUUAUGAGUGGUUCCUGAAGCUCUGAAUAGCACUGAACUCCUUCUGCAAUGGAAUUCCAAAGACAUUCACAACUCUUAAGAAAAAGCCAUGCUGGUGCAUUGGUUAAACCCAGCAUUACACCCUUUGUUUAUGUAGUGGUGGCCCAAGCUGCUGGAAUGCCUGGUGAUAACAGGAUGGUUGUGCUCGGCUGGAGGGAGAGGGGCUGAGAUUUGGUGCCUGAUGAGAUCAAAGGGCCUUUGAUUUCAAUGGGCAUUGAACCAGGCACUGCCAUAUCAAAUAGGCUGAUCAGAUCAUAGUGUGGUGCUUCUGGCAUAGACUCCCAUUGCUGUGUCAGGGCAGGCAGUGCAAAUCAGGUGGCCAGUGGGGUGAGUGGGCACACUGAACUGUCCCUAAUGGAAUGGGACAUCCUGCAGCAGGGCAGUGCAAAGUGGUUUCAUGUCUGGUGUGCCGUGUGGGUCACCUCCAGGCUGGGAUGUGUCCUUUCCCACCUUGUUCCUGCACAGGAGGGUGGCUGGAGGAGCUGCCGAGGGAGAGGAAUUGAUGGGGUGAUGUUGAAUCCUUAAUCUCGUGUUUCAGGGCUUCUCCAGGCGUUCUGCAAGGAAAGAUGAUUAUUUUUUUCUUUGCAGCCUUCGGUGUAGCAAUCAGGCACCUGAAAUUGUUUCUGCCGUCUUUUAAACGGGGAGAUUGGGCACAGCAAGAGGCGUGCUGUGAAGGGAGGGGUGUGCUGGUGCUCCUCAGGGAUGCUGCAGCCCCAGGUUCUGUCUGGGGGAUCGCUGCCUCGAGCUUUCUAAUCCCAAACCCUGCUGUGUUGGCAGGAGCCCUGUUCUGCAGUGUGGGCCACGGUCGCUUUCCCAGCCAUCCCGGAGGGACGUUACCCUGCUCCUGCAGGAGCACAAGAUGUUUGCAGCAUCCUUGGUCUCUCCUGCUCUUUACCUGGGGCUCAUUAGCACUGUGGUCCUUUUGGUUCAUUUGGGAGAGCACUCGGUGGUGAGGCACAGUGUGUGUCUGCAGGGACUGCUGUCACACCAGGAGUGCUCUGCUUUCCUUGUCUACCAGUUGGGUUUUAAACCAUAAGCUCCCGUUCUGAGCUUGUUUUGCUUUGUUUCCCUGUGGCUGGGGAAAAUGGCAGCGUCUGCACGUGAUGUGUAAGCAGAGAGCACCCAGCCCUGUGCACCGCCGCGCUCUGUGGCUGCAGGAAUGUUAUCUCCAGUGUCUCCACCUGCCCCCAUAAACUUGGCUGGAAGUGGGUCAGUAGGUUUAGAAGUUCUAUGGAGAUACGUAUCAGCCUCAUACCUUUAAAAGAAAGCUGACUGAAGUCAAAUCCAAAGCAACAAUGAAAACUUGGAGAGGAAUGGAGAGAAGAGGCAGUGGAUUUGCAGAUAGAGAAAUCCCCGUGGGCCCUAUCGAGUGUUUUGCCAGUGUUAAGCGCUGAGUAAAAUAUAAUGCUGGAGAGAUCAGAUCGCUGGGUAUUCCCUUUGGAUGGGGAGAUCCUGGGUUGAAUACUUCUUUGGUGAGUCAUCUUCUGGAGCUAUCGGAACAGGGAUCUGGCACAGGGCUCUCACUGCUGGAUGUGGCAUUGCUUUCAGGCUGAAACCACUUGGAGAAGGCAUGUAAAUGGUACCAGCUCUCUGCUGCUAAAGCUCUGGAUGCUUGGUUAUGACAUCUGGGAUGUCCCAGCCACCCAGAGCUGGGGCUGACAGUGCUGAGGGCAACCAGAGGGUUUUCUGCUGCAGAACAUGGGGGUGAACACCCACAAACCCUGCUUCACCAAAGCAUCGCCUGAGCUUGCACAGCCCAUCACAGGGCUCUUCCAGGACUUGAACUGCUGGAUCCUCCUCUGUGAACAGACUAAAAGAUACAGGAGAUCAAGACAAGGGGAAGAACCAAUUGCUAAGUGAAGAUGCAUGUGUGGCACAGGGAGGUGUUGGGUCAACAGAAGAGAAGUCCUACAAGGAAAGACUCCAAAGGAGAAAGUCCAGUUAGGUUUUUGCUUGGCUUUUUUUUCAUCCAUUGAAGAGAUACUUAGAAAGUGGAGAGCAGGCGUUGAGGGAGUGCAAGGAGAGCAUGGUAAGAGGCUGAGGGCUGCGUGUGUGACCCUCGCUGUGUUGUGCCAAUGGGUUUUGCUCCAUGGAGUCUGGUCCAGGCAGAGGAAUGUGCUCCCUUUUUUGGGAGCUGCCUAACAGCUGUAGUUGGACCUGGGGAUGGCUUGGUUGUGUCCUUCCUUUGGGAUCAAGGAGCAGCCGACAAUCUGUGGAUAGCACGAGAGCUGCUAAUGCUGCGUCUGAAAAGCUGCAGAGUUAAUGGGAGGGGGGAAUGGGUUUAAAGUUGUAUUUCCUCCAAUAAAUCAGCACAGCCUCGGCCUCCCCGCCCCCAUCGGUGCCUGUGUGCACAUGUUGGAGAGAAAAUCCAAAAAAACCUGAGGACUCUGCAUUAUUGCUCUCUGCUCGGGGCUGCCCAGCCUCACACCAGGACAAGCACUGCUUAAACACCAACGGUGUAGUCUACAGCAGGAAGCAGAGCAGGGCUCAUCCACACCGGGCUGCCCUGCUACUUCUGUGCUCCAACAAGCUGUUACUGAGCGUGGGCUCCCAGCGCUGCCAGCAAAGCUAUUCUCAUGCAGGAGAGAGAAAUGAGCUGUGCAAAAAGCAAGCAUGUCUCGUAUCGCUAAGCGUCACUCGCCAGGUCAAGCAGUACAUGGUGGCACCGCUGCAUGGGGCUGGUUGGAUGUGGUGGAUGUUGGCAGGGAAUUACCCCAACUGCUGUGGCUAAAUCAUAGGAUCACAGAGUCAUUUCAGUGGGAAGGGACCCUUAAAUGCUGACUGGUCCAACUCCCUGCAAUGAACAGGGGUACCCAUAGCUCCACCAGGUGCUCAGAGCCCUGUCCAGCUCUGCCCUCAGGUGCCUGCAGCCAUCACCCAUCACCUCUCUGGGCAAUUGGUCAGAGUGGCCCUAGUGGGAUGAUGCAGUGAUGGCAGCAGGAACAAAAUGGAUCACAAGCAGAGCCUGGGCAGGGGGUGAUGGAGCAACUCAGCAUUAUAUCUCAAGGGCUCUGAUUUUUGGCAGAGCCAAGCCGAUGGGAUGCUGAGCUGUGGGAGGGCUGGCCUGUCUCCAAGUGCUCCCCGGGUGCUGCUAUCUCCUGGUGAUCUGUGAUCCACUCGAGUGUGUCCAUCUGGAUGCCAGCCUGGGCUGGUAUCUGUUCCUGGUGGCUUGUUGGGUUUGUGUGUAUCCUGCAAUCUCUGGCUCUUUUUUGGAGCUGGGAGUGAUUGUGUUCGCUCCCCAGUUCAGCAAGUCAAAGUGAGACUGCUGGGGGAGAGGGGAGAUUUUAAGCUCUGUCUCUGGAGUGAGAGAGAAGGGCUCAGCUUCCAAGUGCCUCACUGGAGGGGAUCCCAACCAGCCCUGCCUUGCUGGGGCAGCUCCCUCCUCUCUUCUCCCUCCCACUCAGGGGCUGUAGGGCUCUUGGUCCUCCCAUGCCCUGCCGGAUGUUGGGGAGCCAGACGGGACAGACCAGCAGCUCCCAGCCCCAAACAAUGGGGCCAUUGAGGGCUGGAGCUGGGGGCUUGGCUGACUGUGGGCUAUGGAUGGGGAGGCCAGCUGAGCUGUGCUUGUUCCACCUCAGCAGAGUCAGAGCCCAAAAUAGGAGCAGUGCGGCCAUUUGGAGGCUGAGCCUCUUUAUCCAGAGGUCGCAGCUUGUUUGCGUGUGGGGUUUGCGUGGAGUAUUUAUGUCUUGGAGUGGGGCUGGGGGCAGGAAAUGAAAGGGGAGGGGUUGGCAGUUGUGCAGACUUAUUUUUGUUUUGUUUUGUUUUCUGUGCUAAAAUGGUGCAGAAGUAUUGGUAUUUUUAUCCCCCCACCUUCCCGUAUGUCCAUAUGCUUCCUUGCAGACUGGGAGCCCCAGUGAGAGCAGUGCUGUGACUCAGUGCUGGAGCGUUGAGCAGGUGAAGGGGACAAGCACUGCACCCUAUAAACUGGUGGAGCUGCCAAGCUGUCCCCAUUGUACCCAACUGCUAUUUCCCUAUGCUGCCAUCCUAGUUCCUAAUCUCAGGCUCCUCUGUGUCCAUGGGCUGUGCCUGCAGGUAGCGCUUCCCCUUCCUCAGCCCCCUCUGAUCUGCUUUCCUGGCACAGCAGUGGGUGCUGCCUGGCUCUUGCAGACACCAAGCAUCUGCUGUGCCCAGUGCAUCCGAAACUCGCACUUCUUUUGUAUCUGUGUGUGGAUUUAAGGGCUCAGCGUGAGGUGCCUAUAGAGGUGGUCUCGGUUGGAGCCUGUUCUGAAUGGUGCUGCUUGAACGGGGCUGCGUCUGCGUCGGGAGAUGUGCAGAAUUAAUGCAAGGUUUGGAUCAGCUCAUUAACUGCCUGUGCCGGUCCAAAUCUUGCCCUUGGAGGUAUGUGUGUUGCUGCCAGUGCCAUCAACAUAAAGACUCUCGCCAGCACAGCCAGGGAUGGGAUUUGGCCUGUUUAUAUUCAUGGUGCAAAAAGAGCUGAAGGAUUAAUGCCUGAUUACUUCUCGGGCCAGCGGGAGCCUCGGGUACCCAUCUCUUGUGCAGCUAAAGCGCAGGGCAGAGCAAGACAAAGCUUUGCAACAGAAUCCUCCCAAUUACCUCACCGCUCUCCCCGCGCGCCGUAAAAUGCACCGUCAGCUCCACCAGCCAGCGCUCAGCCUGCAGCCAAACAACUCCUGCAUUGCUGCAUCCCCCUCCGCCCUGUGCUGACCCCAGUUUGGGGUGGUUUGGUGGAGCCCUGCCUGCUCCCUACCUGCCCCUUGUGUUCAUAUGAGCAUCCUUUCGUGCCCCCCCAGCGGAGCCUGCGCGUUGGAUGCAGUUUCUAUGGUUACUGCAGCUCCUGGGCUCUGGGAAGAGCAGUUGGAUGCUGGAGCUGGCAGGACCAGCAUCUCCCUCUGGAUCAGCCUGAAACUUGACAGGGAUCGGUGUGUGGCAGAGCAGGACAAAGAGAGAAGGGGAGAGGGAACGCAAUGAGAAAAGCUCAGCUUGUGCUGGGUACCGGGGUUGCCCCCAACAGGUUAUGCUCUGAACAGGCUUCAAAAAGGAAUCAAAAAGGGUGGGGAGGAAAAGAAAAUAGAUGAGAAAACUGCAGUUCUAGUGCUUGCAUGAAGGUGACAUUUGUUGUAGCAUCUCCAGCCGUCGAUACGGGGAUCUGAACGUAAGGAAGUUAUAACUGCUGCCAAGCUGACUGUUUCUACCCACAUUUUUCUUUUCCCCAACCCUUUUUUUCCCCUCUGUUUCAUUCUUUUGGUGCUUUUUAUUCUCUGAUAUUUCCCUUCCUACACACACAGGUUUUCUCUUCGCUCCUACAUAUCCCUCUUCUGUCGGUUAGGUUAAAAGUUGGAGGCAUGUUCAGUCCUCACCACAUGCAGGUGCCACUUGGGGCACCAAGAAGUGCCAGCUGGGAAUUGAUGUGACUUUUUGGGGAUAGUUUUUGCCCUUCAGAGCCUUCUCCCGAUGAUGGACGCCAGCACUGAGAUCUGAGCACAGCGUGUGUAGGUGCAAACCCAGCCUGGUGUAUUCAUCUGCAAUUGGGACCUUCCAUCCUCUCAUCUCCUCUAACUCAAAUUCAGGUUGGUUAUUAGUGCUGGGGUCACCAUCUCUGGAGGCCUCCCAGAGCUGUGGGGAUGUGGCACUGAGGGACGUGUCAGUGGGCUGGUUUGGGGUUGGACUUGGGAAUCUGAGGGGUCUUUUCCAUCUUGAGUGACUCUAUGAAAUAUGCCUUGAGCCUAUGGGAUCGAACUCAGUGCCAGAGGUUGCAAGUAGGUGAUGUUUGAGUUCCCUUCCAACCCAAGCCAUUCUCCACUUGUAGGUUGGCCUCUCAGAGCCCUUUUCUUUCUGACUUGGCCGCUUCACCUCUAGACACCUGGUAGACAGGGCAGUGCCUCUUGUGCUGUAAUAGGCAUCUCGAUCCCUGCUGUUACAGGCAGGGUGUGUGGGGACAGGAAUGAAAAUAACUAGGCCAAAGGCUUGGGAGAUGAAGGGCCCUCGUCCUGACCUGCUUGGGAGGUAACUGGGAGCACAGGUCUCCCCAUGCUUCCCAGCUGAGCAUGGCUCCUCACCUGGUUGGACUGGCUUGCCCAUCUCCCUGGGGCUGAGGCUCAGGCAGACACCGGGCUGCAGUGGUUACAGCCAUGCUCUGAAUGCAGAGGAGGGGGCAGGCAGGCAGGGGAAAGCAUUUGCAGUGUUCUGGCUUCACCCAGCAACCAAGAAGUUCCCACAGAGCCAUGAAACAGUACCCUGCCAUCACUAACCCUGUGCCCCCAGGUGGCAGCUGAGGAGGAUGGAUGGAUGGAGAGUGGGUGUGAGCCCAGCAGUUCUCCCUUCCAAUCCAAGCAAUUCUAUGACUGUAUAAUUACUUACACUGGGGCUGCCUGUCCAGCCCUGCCUGCGGGGCCGGCGGCUGCCGGGGCUGUGUGGGUGGCAUGGGGCAAGCAUGGCGUGUGGGGCCGGCCUGGUUCCUGCCCCUCAUUGUGCGUGGGAGAGGCAGCAGUGCCUGGGGAGACGUCCCAUGGCUUCUCUGGAGCCAUAGCCUAGUUUUGAGGCAGUCCCUGCCCGUCUGGCCCUUUUAGGGGCAAAACAGUUCUUUAUUUUGGGUUGUGGAUAGGCUGAUGGAGGUAUGGAUGGAUACGAGACUGGCUGAACUGGGCUCCUCUCUGUGUCUGUGCUGGUGGCACAGCUGGGCAGAGGGGCUGUUGGGACCAUGCUGCAGCCCUAUAGAGCAGCACUGAUGCAGUGGGAUGUUGCUGGGAGCAGCAGGCAGGGUGUCUGCAGGCCCCCGCGCUCUGAAUCACCUGCUCAACCCUUCAGCUGCCGGGACUUGCAGCUGCCUCAGCCGUGUUUACCCUUCCCCGUUCCCUUUUCUCCUUUCUCCCCAGGCAGAUGAAAGCCCGACAAGAAAGGGCAGACGCGGCUUCCCCUCAACAAGUUGCUGCAGGUGAGGCAGAGCUGCUUGGCACGCUGCACAGACACCUGGCCUGGCUGCUCCAUGCACCAUUUUGUGCAGGAGGGAGGAGGAGCACCGGGCAGAUCAGAGGGGGAUGGAUGGGGUGGGCUGGGUGCUGUGGGCACAGGACUCAAGCUGAGCCAGUCCUGGAUGGAUCCAGUGGUCUUAGGGAUUGAAGCAUCAUGUCUGUAGUUUGGAUACUGCCUUCUCCUUCUACAUCACAGGAGGGAGACCUUGGAGGGUGAGCAGGUUGCAUGGAGAGGUUGUGGUUGCCUCGUCCCUGGAGGUGCUCAAGACCAGUUUGGAUGGGGCCAAAAAAGGCUGUUUGACAUUCAUGUGAGUGGACCAAAAAGGUUUUGUUACACUGAGGCUGGGUGAGAAGGGCCAAGACCACUCCAUCUAACCAGCCAAACCCAGAUCAGUCACUGUGAGAUGCAUGGCAGGAGCAUUCUUUCUCAGAGCUGAUUGCAGCUCUUCUGUGUGCAUGGAAGCAGCUUGGGAAGCAGCCUGGUUUCCUGAAAGUACAUAACUUGUAUUGAACAAUAAGAUUUUCCCCCCUUCCGAUUUAUUUUCCUUGUCGUGAAAGCGUCACGGUCACUUCUGUUGAACAAAAUGAAACCUCGUUUUAGUCCAUGUCCUUAGGAGUGUUUGAAAUACCAUGGAGAAAGUCUACAGAUUGGUUUUGAAGCCAUCCAAAGGGUAAAAGUGAUGGAUUGGUUUAUAUCUCAAACCUCUCUAACCCCACUUGUCUGCAUGGAGCUCCAAACCCCCACAGCACCUACCUCCAAGGAGGGGAAUAUUUUACACGUGGGCCUGUCUGUGUGGAACUCAAGGCUGUUUUUACUUGGUGCAGGGAAAUGUCCCUGGGCUCCUUUUGGUGUCACUUUGCUGUUCCCAAGCGGUUUCCUGGAAAGGCAGCAGGAAGUCGAACAUGUAAGUACAUUUCUGAAGCACUUGGGUAUUUCCAAGUGAUGCAACUUCAGAUUCCUUCCCUAACCAACCCCCUCCUUUUCCUUUUGGGCUCCUUUUGGCCUCAAAGUUCAGCUUGUCUUUUUGUUGUUUGGUUUUUGAGUUAUGGAGGCAGAGCCCUACAGUGGGAGGAGGUGGGCAGCACGCAGCCAGGUGCAUGGGGGGCUGGGGAGGGGAAGCUGCCCCUUUGGGGAACCUUUGCUCUGUCUUGCAGGGCCAUCUGUGGGACUGACUGUGUGAUCCUCCCACGGUCUGGACCCAUCAGCAGCCCUGAAACCAGCUGGCAGGGAUGUCAAACAUGACUUGCCCCUGCAGACAAAGUCACGCUCAUCAUCUCUGUAAUUAAUCCGGUUCCUGGAGGUCGUGGUUUGAACACAGACAAGUUGUCCUGGGGAAGCAACACCCUCUGGAUCUGGUUGUUCCUCACAGGUAUUUGCACAGUUUUGCAGGUGAAACUCUGCAUGCAGCCCGGUGGGGCCAACGCUGGCUGCUGCCAUUGGGUACUCAUGAGUGAGAGAACAUGAGACGGAGUCAGGGAACCUCUGAGACCAAUACUGGGAUGAGGCAGGAGGAGAGGGAGGUUUUAAAGCCUUGGUCAAGUUGAAGGGAGUUGUUUCCCUUUCUGGUUAUGAAUUUCUCUUGUCGCUUGGCUGUGUCUUGUUGCAAGGAGCUCAGUUCCCAUUGACUCCAGCAGGACCAGAGCUGGACCAGAGGGGCACUUGAUGCAAAAGAGGCUGCAAGAAUAGAUUCAGCUUUAUCUCUUAACGAGCCUGUUCAUUCUCUCACCUGUUGAUGGGUCAAAUUUUGAAGCUCUGACUCAGUCUGAACUUUCAGUGGCUUUUACACCUGGUGAUUUAAAUAUCUGCCUGCACAGGAGGUGAACACCAAGCGGCAUCCCUACCUGCAGCACCGUACCAGGUUACCUUCCCCUUUCCCCCCUCCAGCUGUUUACUGUUUCCCUCCCACCUCCUGACUCAGAAGAAUGGGACACAAAUGCUCCCACCUCACCCACUCCGGUACAAUGCUUGGCAGCUGCCGGGGAAAAAGAGUUUGGGUGAAGCUGCCAGGCUUUGCCUGGGAGCCAUGGAGCAGAGCACGAGAGCUGUUCCACCAACGCAGCCGCCAGCAGCAGGAGCCUCGGGGAGCAGACGAGCCAACUGCUGGGGGUGCUGAUAACAUCUGGACCCACCUGAUGAGGGAGCAUCUCCCCGUGCUGUAAGUGCAGGGUUGGGACCUUUCGGUGCUGAGCCGCCUCUGCUCCCACCGAGUUCAGCAGGAGGUCAGGGUACAUAGCAAUGGGGUCGUGCAAGCUGUGGGUGCUGGGGCUGAGCCUAAGGCAGUGCUGGGACUGCUGCCUGCUGGGCUGGGUGAGUCCUUGUCGGGUGGCUCCUACCAAGUCUGCAGAUAGAAGUGGUGUGAAGCUGUUCCAGGGUGAGAGAGAAACCUCUGGAACCAGCUGCAGUGCUAUUCCUGGGGUAAGAGAGUGGCUGAGAAGCCCCCAAGUGGCCCUUAGAAAGGCAUAGCUGUAAAAGCACAGGAGUCCCAGGGGAGCUGGAGCUUGUCCCCAUGUCCCUGUGCGGGGCGGUGGGGGCUGCAGUCAAAGUAUUCCCGUGGCCCCGUGCUGUCACCCUGCUGCAGCCACAGCACAGCGCCAGCUUGCUCUUCCCUCCUCAUCUCUCCUUCUUCCUCCCGUGGCCCCUCACAUCCUCCCUGCCUCAAUCCAGCUUUAAAAUCUCAAGGCAAAUCCCACUAAAUCGGGAGAUUUCGCCCGGCUGCUUCCCUGCCCUCUCUGCUCUCCCGCUCCCUCCGCCUUUUCUGGCCUGCUGGGUUUUGUGUUUCAGUUGUUAUAAAUAAAGCUCCAGGCACUGAUUUGGGUAUA